AGUUCACUUUCUAGUGUUGAGGAAGCAGAAGAAGACGCAAGGGAAGUAGACGCUACAGGGGAAAAUCAAGCAGUUUUAAAACGUAAUUGUUUAAGUAAAGACGCCAAACAAAUUUGUCAAUUUUUUUCCUUACUUACUGCCCCUGUUGUCCUUCAGCCACACAGUAAAGUGUGUCUCUUCCUCCAUUCUCUGGAAAAAACUCCUUUUUUGCCAUAUUUACUGCCCCUGUUUGUCCUUCAGCGACACAAUAGACUGCUUCUUCCUUCAUUCUCUGAGAAAAAGACCCCUUUUUGCCAUAUCAACAGCCAAUAGCAAAGAUUUAAGCCAAAAACACAGGAACUUAGAUGACCAAAUGUUGAUUUCAUUUAUUUAUGACAGAAGACCUCUAUAAAAUCCAAGAAACUUUUUACAGUCAGGACACAAAAAUAAAUUGAAGCAAUUGUGGGAGGAGGUUUCUCAAUUGUUGAGAGGCUUUCUUGUAGAAUAUUUUAAAAAACGGCGGAGAUAUGAUUUUAUGCGGACUAAGAAAAAAGCAUACAUUCCUAGUGAGUCUGAAUGACCACUAACACUCAGCCUUUAUUUAAAUAUUAUAAACUAAUAAAUUCUAAGAAGAAAUUGUUGGAAACUUGGUGGCCUCACAAAAAAUGGAAAGAAAAUAAUAAAGAACUCUUGGAUGAUCACUUAAAGUAUCUACAAUUCAACAAACCUCAUCGUCAGGUGGAAAAAGAAAACGGGUAAAGGUGUCAUCAGUUUGGAAAUACUUUAAGAGGUCAAAUGAUAAUAAGUUAGCUAAAUGUUUAGAGUGUGGACGGGAACAUAAAACCAGCGACAAUACAUCUAAUCUUGCAGAGCAUUUAAAGACACAUCACCCUCCUAUGUAAACUCAAAAUGUGUGUGAAACCUCUGAAGAUGAAUCUGUAAGUAAUGCUACCAACUUCAACAAGUGCUAAAUCUAGUGGAAGGUCUGGAGCAGGAUCGUCAGGAUCUAUAAGUUCAUUUUUUAAAAGAGCUUUACAAUAUGACAGCAACUCUCAAAAGAAAAAACAAAUAGACAAUACUUUGAUAUAAAUGGUGGCUUUAGAUUUUCAGCCAUUUUUAAUUGUU
Molecule: long non-coding RNA, 1104 nt
Organism: Anthonomus grandis grandis
Lineage: Eukaryota; Metazoa; Arthropoda; Insecta; Coleoptera; Curculionidae
Exons: 6
Source: RefSeq, a predicted model, not a curated record